AAUAAAAUUUUUAUGUUUUUUAUAAUUUAUUAUAAAUUUAUUUUACAUGUAAAUUUUAGUAUAUAAUUUUGAUUAUUUUAAUAAUAAUUAAUUUAAUUAUACAGUAAUUAAAAUUAAAAAUUUAAGAAAUUAAGAUUUAGUAAUAUAUAAAUUAAUAACUAAUUUUGUGCCAGCAGUUGCGGUUAAACAAAAUUUAAAUUAAAUUAUUUCAGUAUAUAAUAAAUAAUAGAUAAUUAAAUUAAAUAUUAAAUUAUUAAGUGAAAUUUUAAUUUAAUUUAAAAUUAUAUUAAAAUUAUGAUUUAAUAAAUUUUAUUUUAAACUAGGAUUAGAUACCCUAUUAUUAGAAAUUUAAUUAAAAAUACUAAAAUAGUAAAUAAAAUAUAUUGAAACUUAAAUAAUAUGGCGGUAUUUUAGUUCAUUUAGAGGAAUCUGUCUAAUAAUUGAUAAUCCACGAAUAAAUUUACUUAAUUUAUAAUUUUGUAUAUCAUUGUUAAAAAAAUAUUUAUAAAUAAAAAUAAUAUUUAAAAAUUUAAAAUAAAAUUUAAUUCAAAUCAAGAUGCAGAUUAUAAUUAAGUUUAAGAUGGAUUACAAUAAAUUUAUUUAAAUGAAAAGAAUUUUGUAAUAUUUAAUUGAAGGUGGAUUUAAAUGUAAUUUUAAUUAAUUUAUUAAAAUGAUUAAAAAUUAGGAUAUGUACAUAUUGCCCGUCACUUUCAUUUAAAAAUUGAAAUAAGUCGUAACAAAGUAGAGGUACUGGAAAGUGUUUCUAGAAUGAA
Molecule: non-coding RNA, 773 nt
Filed under: Limenitis sinensium
Lineage: Eukaryota; Metazoa; Arthropoda; Insecta; Lepidoptera; Nymphalidae
Source: RNAcentral